Molecule: long non-coding RNA, 304 nt
Filed under: Capsella rubella
Lineage: Eukaryota; Viridiplantae; Streptophyta; Magnoliopsida; Brassicales; Brassicaceae
Description: long non-coding RNA (CRUB_LNC001977)
Source: RNAcentral
UGCAUGUGAAUGAUUCUCUAGUAAUUAGGUCGAAUCAGUUUUCUCAUCAUGAAUAUAUGUGCUAGAAAAAUACUUUGUGAUUUGUGUCAUUGAACUAGCUAAUAUGUUGUUCACCUAGUAAUAUGUGUGUAGUUGUGAUUAGAGUCAAGAACGCAAAAAAAAAAAACAAGAAAAGAAAAAACGAAAUAUAUCUGGCUACCGAAAAAAAGAAAAAGAUUCAUAAAAGUCAAAUUGUUUGCAGACAAAAAAGGUUUACAUUAGUCAUUUUUACUCUUACUUUAUGUUCUAAGAAUUAUGAAAUGAU